CCUACGGGGCGCAGCAGUGAGGAAUAUUGGUCAAUGGCCGGAAGGCUGAACCAGCCAUGCCGCGUGAAGGUCAGUGCCCUAUGGGCGUUAAACUUCUUUUGUGCGGGAGCAAUAAUGGUCACGUGUGGCCAGACGAGAGUACCGUACGAAUAAGCAUCGGCUAACUCCGUGACAGCAGCCGCGGUAAUACGGGGGAUGCAAGCGGUAUCCGGAUUUAUUGGGUUUAAAGGGUGCGUAGGCUGGGAGGUAAGUCAGCGGUGAAAUUCCCCCGCUCAACGGGGUGAAUUGCCAUUGAUACUGGCUUGCUGGAAUGCGGAUGAGGUAGGAGGAAUGUGUGGUGUAGCGGUGAAAUGCAUAGAUAUCACACAGAACACCGAUUGCGAAGGCAUCUCACGGAUCCGCGAUUGACGCUGAUGCACGAAAGCGUGGGUAUCAAACAGGAUUAGAUACCCGGGUAGUC
RNAcentral lists this ribosomal RNA (460 nucleotides) under uncultured bacterium. RNAcentral's name for it is "partial 16S ribosomal RNA". It matches the Rfam family "Bacterial small subunit ribosomal RNA", at positions 338 to 795 of the family's 1533-position model. The record is from RNAcentral.